AUUGAACGCUGGCGGCAUGCCUUACACAUGCAAGUCGAACGGCAGCGGACCUUCGGGUGCCGGCGAGUGGCGAACGGGUGAGUAUUAUAUCGGAACGUACCUUUCAGUGGGGGAUAACGUAGCGAAAGUUACGCUAAUACCGCAUAUUCUGUGAGCAGGAAAGCAGGGGAUCGCAAGACCUUGCGCUGAUUGAGCGGCCGAUAUCAGAUUAGCUAGUUGGUGAGGUAAAGGCUCACCAAGGCGACGAUCUGUAGCGGGUCUGAGAGGAUGAUCCGCCACACUGGAACUGAGACACGGUCCAGACUCCUACGGGAGGCAGCAGUGGGGAAUUUUGGACAAUGGGCGCAAGCCUGAUCCAGCCAUGCCGCGUGAGUGAAGAAGGCCUCGGUUGUAAG
This 395-nucleotide ribosomal RNA is filed under the name uncultured bacterium. RNAcentral describes it as "bacterial SSU rRNA". It matches the Rfam family "Bacterial small subunit ribosomal RNA", at positions 30 to 429 of the family's 1533-position model. The record is from RNAcentral.